CCUAUUGUGCCAAGCCAGUACUUGGCUUUGUCCUUAAGUGAGAAGGAGAAUAGGGUCAGUCUAAGUGCAUCAUCAGUAAAAUUUUGAAUCUUCACCGUGGAACAAAUUUCUAAGAACUCAUCUAGAUGCUUGUAAGGAUCUUCAUUGGUGUUCUCAUAAAAAGAUGGGAGUAUCUGGAUUAUGGUUGACCUGAUCUCAUAAUGGCCUGCAGGGAUAUCAGGUAAGUGGAUGCAAGUAGAUGGGUUAU
Molecule: long non-coding RNA, 247 nt
Filed under: Elaeis guineensis (African oil palm)
Lineage: Eukaryota; Viridiplantae; Streptophyta; Magnoliopsida; Arecales; Arecaceae
Description: long non-coding RNA (EGUI_LNC053203)
Source: RNAcentral